Molecule: transfer RNA, 68 nt
Filed under: Provanna sp. JWQ-2014
Lineage: Eukaryota; Metazoa; Mollusca; Gastropoda; Provannidae
Description: tRNA-Ile
Source: RNAcentral
AGUACUACGCCGGAUGAACGGAAAUCAUUGAUGUUGAUUGAUAUGAGAUUGAAUUAUUUCUGGUACUA